Neomonachus schauinslandi (Hawaiian monk seal) is the source of this 210-nucleotide long non-coding RNA. RefSeq lists it as uncharacterized. The record is from RefSeq and is a predicted model, not a curated record. The transcript is spliced from 3 exons. NCBI's taxonomy places the organism in Eukaryota, Metazoa, Chordata, Mammalia, Carnivora, Phocidae.
CAUUACUUUGGAGGAAAUAUAGUGGAGUAGAAAAAGCAUAGGCUCUGAAUCCAGGCCUUCUUCACAGAUUAAAAAGCUGUUUACACAAGAAUGGGCCCCAGUGAUUUGAGAAAACAGAAUAGAUGCAGAUGCAGAUAAAAAAAAAAUCUUAAAGGAUCCAUUAUUUGGGCAGCGUGGAGAGUUCAUCCAGGAUCAUUCUGAAAAAGAGGA